GACGAACGCUGGCGGCGUGCCUAAUACAUGCAAGUAGAACGCUGAAGAGAGGAGCUUGCUCUUCUUGGAUGAGUUGCGAACGGGUGAGUAACGCGUAGGUAACCUGCCUGGUAGCGGGGGAUAACUAUUGGAAACGAUAGCUAAUACCGCAUAAAAUUGAUUAUUGCAUGAUAAUUAAUUGAAAGAUGCAAUUGCAUCACUACCAGAUGGACCUGCGUUGUAUUAGCUAGUUGGUGAGGUAACGGCUCACCAAGGCGACGAUACAUAGCCGACCUGAGAGGGUGAUCGGCCACACUGGGACUGAGACACGGCCCAGACUCCUACGGGAGGCAGCAGUAGGGAAUCUUCGGCAAUGGGGGGAACCCUGACCGAGCAACGCCGCGUGAGUGAAGAAGGUUUUCGGAUCGUAAAGCUCUGUUGUAAGAGAAGAACGGGUGUGAGAGUGGAAAGUUCACACUGUGACGGUAUCUUACCAGAAAGGGACGGCUAACUACGUGCCAGCAGCCGCGGUAAUACGUAGGUCCCGAGCGUUGUCCGGAUUUAUUGGGCGUAAAGCGAGCGCAGGCGGUUAGAUAAGUCUGAAGUUAAAGGCUGUGGCUUAACCAUAGUAUGCUUUGGAAACUGUUUAACUUGAGUGCAGAAGGGGAGAGUGGAAUUCCAUGUGUAGCGGUGAAAUGCGUAGAUAUAUGGAGGAACACCGGUGGCGAAAGCGGCUCUCUGGUCUGUAACUGACGCUGAGGCUCGAAAGCGUGGGGAGCAAACAGGAUUAGAUACCCUGGUAGUCCACGCCGUAAACGAUGAGUGCUAGGUGUUAGGCCCUUUCCGGGGCUUAGUGCCGCAGCUAACGCAUUAAGCACUCCGCCUGGGGAGUACGACCGCAAGGUUGAAACUCAAAGGAAUUGACGGGGGCCCGCACAAGCGGUGGAGCAUGUGGUUUAAUUCGAAGCAACGCGAAGAACCUUACCAGGUCUUGACAUCCCUCUGAUCGCUCUAGAGAUAGAGUUUUCCUUCGGGACAGAGGUGACAGGUGGUGCAUGGUUGUCGUCAGCUCGUGUCGUGAGAUGUUGGGUUAAGUCCCGCAACGAGCGUAACCCCUAUUGUUAGUUGCCAUCAUUCAGUUGGGCACUCUAGCGAGACUGCCGGUAAUAAACCGGAGGAAGGUGGGGAUGACGUCAAAUCAUCAUGCCCCUUAUGACCUGGGCUACACACGUGCUACAAUGGCUGGUACAACGAGUCGCAAGCCGGUGACGGCAAGCUAAUCUCUGAAAGCCAGUCUCAGUUCGGAUUGUAGGCUGCAACUCGCCUACAUGAAGUCGGAAUCGCUAGUAAUCGCGGAUCAGCACGCCGCGGUGAAUACGUUCCCGGGCCU
This 1369-nucleotide ribosomal RNA is filed under the name uncultured bacterium. RNAcentral describes it as "bacterial SSU rRNA". It matches the Rfam family "Bacterial small subunit ribosomal RNA", at positions 28 to 1381 of the family's 1533-position model. The record is from RNAcentral.